This 1046-nucleotide ribosomal RNA is filed under the name Dothideomycetes sp. genotype 523. RNAcentral's name for it is "eukaryotic LSU rRNA". The stretch from base 465 to 1046 matches the Rfam family "Eukaryotic large subunit ribosomal RNA", at positions 1 to 595 of the family's 3401-position model. Lineage: Eukaryota; Fungi; Ascomycota; Dothideomycetes. The record is from RNAcentral.
CUGCGGAGGGAUCAUUACCGAGUGAGGGCCCCCGGGCCCGACCUCCCACCCUUUGUUUUCCAAACCACGUUGCCUCGGGGGCGACCCGGCCUCGGCCGGCGCCCCCGGUGGCCCAUUCAACUCUGCAUCUGAGCGUCUGAGCGAAUAGCGAAUCAAACAAAACUUUCAACAACGGAUCUCUUGGUUCUGGCAUCGAUGAAGAACGCAGCGAAAUGCGAUAAGUAAUGUGAAUUGCAGAAUUCAGUGAAUCAUCGAAUCUUUGAACGCACAUUGCGCCCCUUGGUAUUCCGGGGGGCAUGCCCGUUCGAGCGUCAUUAACACCACUCAAGCCUGGCUUGGUAUUGGGCGUCGCGCUCCGGCGCGCGCCUUCAUGUCGUCGGCCGAGCCGUCCGUCUCUAAGCGUUGUGGUCAUUCAUCCGCUUGCGAGUCGGUCGGGUCUGCGCCGUUAAACUCUUACUAAAGGUUGACCUCGGAUCGGGUAGGGAUACCCGCUGAACUUAAGCAUAUCAAUAAGCGGAGGAAAAGAAACCAACAGGGAUUGCCUCAGUAACGGCGAGUGAAGCGGCAACAGCUCAAAUUUGAAAUCUGGCGCAAGCCCGAGUUGUAAUUUGUAGAGGAUGCUUCUGGGUCGCGGCCGGUCUAAGUUCCUUGGAACAGGACGUCACAGAGGGUGAGAAUCCCGUAUGUGAUCGGCUUGCACCCUCCACGUAGCUCCUUCGACGAGUCGAGUUGUUUGGGAAUGCAGCUCUAAAUGGGAGGUAAAUGUCUUCUAAAGCUAAAUACCGGCCAGAGACCGAUAGCGCACAAGUAGAGUGAUCGAAAGAUGAAAAGCACUUUGGAAAGAGAGUUAAAAAGCACGUGAAAUUGUUGAAAGGGAAGCGCAUGCAACCAGACUUGUCGGCGGUGUUCCGCCGGUCUUCUGACCGGUCUACUCGCCGCCGACAGGCCAGCAUCGUCUGGGCGCGCCGGAGAAAGGCGCCGGGAAUGUAGCUCCUCGGAGUGUUAUAGCCCGGCGCACAAUACGGCGCCGCCCGGGCGAGGUCCGC